This 2959-nucleotide unclassified non-coding RNA is filed under the name Owenia fusiformis. Its description in RNAcentral is "misc RNA OFUS_LOCUS4184". The record is from RNAcentral. Lineage: Eukaryota; Metazoa; Annelida; Polychaeta; Sabellida; Oweniidae.
GUAAUAUGAAAAGUGAACCACUAAAACUGAUGAUUAUUCAAGUUUAAGGGAAUUUUGUAAUACCCUGCUAUGUUAUUUCCCCAGAAUCAGCCACCUGGUGGCAAAAGUGGUAACUACCUAGUCCUACUCGCAUCUAAGUAAUUGAAGUGGUUUAUUUUAAUUUUAUUUCGAAUUUUUCCUUAUGAAAGUGGAAAUUAUGGCUGUGAACAAUCAUCAACUUGAUACCGUUAACGAAUUGGUUGAAGCCCCAACAUUGAUGAACAAAGACUCUAAAAGUAACAAGACAUACAAAUGAACUAAGAAAGCAUGUCUGAUGAAAAUGAUAAGGAGGAUGCAGCCAUAGCUGAGAAAGAUGACUCUGUUCCCACAAUUCAACCUAAUUCAUGUGAUGUGUUAAAUAGAGAGCAAAAUAUACAAAAACGUUGGCUUGAAGAUGAUGACAUUAUCAUUGGAGAUGAUGUUGAGGAGUCAAGUAAUUGUUAUGGUAGGAGAACUGAUCAGGAUGUUUCAGGUGAUGAUCAUACAGAUGUGUCUACUUGUGAUCCAGCGGUUGAAACCUCCAAGCUAAAAGCACAAAGAUAUAUGAAGCCUCAUAACAUAGAAACCCAAUCAAAUAGUGCAUUUUUAAUUCCUGGGGGACACAUGACUGAUAUAAAUUUGGAUGAUGUAUCACGGUCUCUCCAUGGUUCUCCAACAUUACUAAAAGAUCUUGGUUACACUUCCACAAUGUCAGAUCUCCCAGUGUGGAAACCCUCAUGUGAAGCCCAAUCACCAAACCCCAAUGCGGCAUUUAGGUUCUCAAAAAAGGAUUCGGAUCAAUUGGGAAAUGCAAUUCAACUCCAGAUAAAUAGUUAUAGAGAUGCUAAUGAUAAUUUAGGAGAUGAGCUUAAGGAUUAUGUAAUAGAUCAUGAAGUAAUGUCUGUGCUCAAUACGGUGUCUGUGGAAUCCUGUGAUCUUGUUAGCAAAACUGACAUUAAUCAAAAAUUUAAAGAUACACCUCAAACACCAACGCAGGCAGAAACAGUGACGUCAAAACAAGUAAAUGAUGUCAUUGAUGUGAAUUUUAUAAAUGACUUGGUGAAACUUGGUGCUCUUUCAGAUUCAAAACUGGCUAGUCCCAAUGUUCCAUUUCCUAAUGCUAAUGCUAUAGACCAAGAGAGUGAGAUGGAAAUAAACAUAGAAAGCUUUAACAUUGAUGACCAGGAUCUGAUUCAUGAACUUCCACAAUUAAUUAUUUUGAAGAUUUUUUCCUUCUUCUCUCACUCAGAGCUUUGUCAUAAAAUCAUGCAUGUUUGCAAAGCCUGGUAUUGCCUGGCCCAUGAUCCAUUAUUAUGGCAGCAUAUAUCUAUAACAUCAGACAAAGAUUUAGACAAUGGAACAAUUCUACGUUUAAUGAAAAGAAGUCCACAGUUGAAAAAACUCACGAUGUGGGGCAGGAAUGAACUCAACCAAACUCUAGUCUCAUCCUUUAUAAGAUACACCCCAAAAUUAAAAACACUAAUCCUUGAAUUCUGUCAUAAUGUGAAUUCAAACAUGUUGAGAAUUUUCAUUAAAAAUUGCUCAAAAAUUUCUGAGUUGAAUUUAGAAGGCUGUGAUCAAAUAGAUGCAAAUUGUGUGAACAUGAUAACAGACCUUCAGUACAUUUGCAAGCUCAACUUGUCUCAUUGUGUAAAGCUAACUGAAGAUGAUAUUGUGACAUUAGUGCAUGCUGCAGAGCCUAACCAGUUUGUGGAGUUCAAUAUAGAUGGCAUCUCAUGUAUUACAGACAGCGUAUUGGAACAACUUGUGUUACAUCAUCAAUCAAGCCUCACCAGUCUCACAAUAGAUGGAGCUGAGAUAUCAGACGAAAGUAUGGCACAUAUUUCCAACUGUGAGAACAUGAGAAAGUUCAGUAUUUCCUUCGCUGAGCUACUUACAGACAAAAGCUUGAUUUACUUGAAGAGAUUGCAGUCAUUAACAGAGCUGAGACUUAAAAAGGGUAUAGGGUUUUCUACAGAGGUUUUACAAGAUUUCUUUGAAAGUCAUCAACUGAACCUGGAGUACCUUGAUCUCACAGAGUGUACCUUCCUCCAGGAUUCUGCAGUUUUCCAAAUAACCAAACAAUGUGGUAAAACCUUGAGAAGUCUUGCAUUAUGUUGGUGUUGGGACCUGACAGAUGAUAGUCUCAUCUCAAUAGUGGACAACUGCCCAAACAUCAGACAUCUUGACCUAACUGGACUGGACAAAAUAACAGGGAGUUGCUUGGACAGAAUACCAGAAGAAAUGCCCCACCUGAAGUUCCUAGAUCUGCGACAGUGCAAUAAUAUUAUUGAUGAGUUGAUACAAGAUGUUGUGCGAAGAAAGAAGGAUUUGACUGUGAUUAACUAUUAUGGAGAGGAAUUCUCAGUAUUUGGCAACACCCUGUAUGUAUCCUAUUAAACAUUUGUGAAUCAUACUAUGUAUGUCAUACUUAAAAGGAACACUGAUCUGGCUUUGAGACAAUAUUGCUUGGAUACAACCAUCUCAAAUGAUUCUGCAACACUACCACCUCAUGUGCAACUUAUACUGCUGGUACUCACCAAGUCAAAUGGAGAUGCACUGGCCAACUUGGGGCAUUUACUCUUGAGUGUCUAGGAGUCAAUGGAGACUUUCACCUUGCAUGUAAAAUUGAAAUGGCAACGUAUAAAUCACCCUAUACAAAUGCAUGUUCUCAAAUGAAUAAUCGUUCAGUUACAGUGUUUACUUAGUCUGUUACUUAGGCUACAUUACAUCGUGUAAUAUGUCAAUGAUUGUUAUAUAGCUGGUUUUCUAUGAUACAUACCUUCAACAAGCUCAUUUUGUAAGAUAUUUGGAGCUAAAACAUGUAUGACAUACAUCAUUUUCUUCAGAAAGCAUUAUACUGUGCACUGAAAUCAAAAUUGCCAACAUAGUAUUCAACAGACAUGAGUAGAAUGAUUAACGUUGACAACAACAUGAAAUU